CCCUUAGAUGUUCUGGGCUGCACGCGCGCUACACUGAUGCGUUCAACAAGUUGGACCUUGUCCGAGAGGAAAUCGGGGGAAUCUUUUGAAAACGUAUCGUGAUGGGGAUAGAUUAUUGUAAUUAUUAAUCUUCAACGAGGAAUUCCUAGUAAGCAUGAAUCAUCAGCUCGUGCUGAUUACGUCCCUGCCCUUUGUACACACCGCCCGUCGCUCCUACCGAUUGAGUGAGCCGGUGAAUUAACCAGAUUGUGGCGAGGGUAGUUUUCUGCUAUUGCUACGAAAAGGUUUGUGAACCUUAUCACUUAGAGGAAGGAGAAGUCGUAACA
This 326-nucleotide ribosomal RNA is filed under the name uncultured eukaryote. Its description in RNAcentral is "partial 18S ribosomal RNA". It matches the Rfam family "Eukaryotic small subunit ribosomal RNA", at positions 1470 to 1796 of the family's 1831-position model. The record is from RNAcentral.